Molecule: long non-coding RNA, 685 nt
Organism: Rosa rugosa (rugosa rose)
Lineage: Eukaryota; Viridiplantae; Streptophyta; Magnoliopsida; Rosales; Rosaceae
Exons: 2
Source: RefSeq, a predicted model, not a curated record
UCUUCGGAUUAUAAAUUCUGUUUCAGAUAUUAAAACUUCCUAAAAGUGCAGGACGUGUAGAUUGAUUAGUGAUUACCAUCAUGAGAACCAUACUUACCAUUUGCGUCGUUGGCUUGCUGUUGACGGUGGCAUCUCUAGAAGCCGAUGCUAAACGGUUUGUUUUGCAUGACCGUCACUUGGUUCAAGUUAAAACUGAUCCAAAUCUGGAUCAAAACCCUGAGGUUCUUGCUAGUGGUGGUGCAAAAGAUCAAUUUCAGUCUCAGUCCCAGACCACAAGUAAGGGUAGCAGCAACAGCGAUGCAAAGCAUGAUGAUCAUGACGAAGAUGACUUGAACGAGAUUCAUGCUACAAUCCAAUGCAUGCCAGAUAAACCUCAAGGGAGGCCGCAUUGUAAAACUACUGAGUCUAAAAGCCUUCAUGAGCCUAAAAGCCUUCAUGCAUGAAUCAACGAUGUUGUGUAAUAUGUAUAAUAUGUUUAGCUUGUACGUACUUUUGGUAAUGAAUAAUGGGGAACUCAACAGCAUGUGGCCAAAGUAUCCAAAAUAAUUUAUAAGGCACAUGUUUGAUUUGCCCAGAAUCUUAAUAAUAUAUUAGAUGGUAAUCAGUGUUUACUAUAUAUGUGUUUAAAUUGUACCGUUUAGGCUGUAUCAUAUAAUAAACCGUUAUGACUUCGUGUCUUCGUGGA